This 4171-nucleotide small RNA is filed under the name Pongo abelii (Sumatran orangutan). RNAcentral describes it as "retained intron". The stretch from base 3306 to 3415 matches the Rfam family "Small nucleolar RNA SNORD23". Lineage: Eukaryota; Metazoa; Chordata; Mammalia; Primates; Hominidae. The record is from RNAcentral.
GGCAGGAGACAGUGGCGUUGGUGGGAAGCGCAGCUCGAAAAGCGAUGCUGAUUCUGGUUUCCUGGGGCUGCGGCCCACUUCGGUGGACCCAGCGCUGAGGCGGCGGCGGCGAGGCCCAAGAAAUAAGAAGCGGGGCUGGCGGCGGCUUGCUCAGGAGCCGCUGGGGCUGGAGGUUGACCAGUUCCUGGAAGACGUGCGGCUACAGGAGCGCACGAGCGGUGGCUUGCUGUCAGAGGCCCCAAAUGAAAAACUCUUCUUCGUGGACACUGGCUCCAAGGAAAAAGGGCUGACAAAGAAGAGAACCAAAGUCCAAAAGAAGUCACUGCUUCUCAAGAAACCCCUUCGGGUUGACCUCAUCCUCGAGAACACAUCCAAAGUCCCUGCUCCCAAAGACGUCCUCGCCCACCAGGUCCCCAACGCCAAGAAGCUCAGGCGGAAGGAGCAGCUAUGGGAGAAGCUGGCCAAGCAGGGCGAGCUGCCCCGGGAGGUGCGCAGGGCCCAGGCCCGGCUCCUCAACCCUCCAGCGGCCAGGGCCAAGCCCGGGCCCCAGGACACCGUGGAACGGCCCUUCUACGACCUCUGGGCCUCAGACAACCCCCUGGACAGGCCGUUGGUUGGCCAGGAUGAGUUUUUCCUGGAGCAGACCAAGAAGAAAGGAGUGAAGCGGCCACAACGCCUGCACACCAAGCCGUCCCAGGCACCCGCCGUGGAGGUGGCGCCUGCUGGAGCUUCCUACAACCCAUCCUUUGAAGACCACCAGGUACACCGCCCCGUCCAGGCCUCCCUCCUCAGCGGGCUCUGCCUCUCUGUCAGGCCUUCAAUAGCUUCCUCCCUGUGCUGGGUGGUGCUGGGAACUCCAGUGACCCAGACAGCCCUGGGCCUGUCCUCACGGGGCUCAUGGUCCAGUGCAAGAGACCUGUUCCCAGACAGUGAUGGGCAGAGUGGUUGGGGCUGGGAGCCCCAGCCUGGGGGGUCAGGAAGGGCUCCCUGGAGGAGGGGACACCUGAGCCGAGGCAGAGGCUGAGGGAGGGGUUUGCAAUGGAAGGAGGGGAGUGGGUUUUCCAGGUGGCGGGAACAGCACUGCAAAGGCAGAGUUGAGUGAGACCGUGGCGCCUUCCAGGAAGCCUGUGGGACAGAUGCAAAAGGCUGCGGUGACAUGGUGGCACACUCGCAGUCAAGUGACAGUUACUCACGGGUGAGGCUAGCUCAGCGAUGGGAAAGUCUGGCUGGAGCCACUGUGCAUUUGGCAGGCAUCUGUUGGGCACAGAUGCUGUGGACAAAGGGGACAAAAACCCCUCCCUUGGUCGGGUGCAGUGCCUCACACCUGUAAUCCCAGCACUUUGGGAGGCUGAGGCAGACGGAUCAUUUGAGGUCAGGAGUUGGAGACCAGCCUGACCAACAUGGUGAAACCCUGUCUCUACUAAAUAAAGAAAAUUAGCGGGGUGUGGCAGCACGCGCCUGUGGUUCCAACUGCUCGGGAGGCUGAGGUGGGAGGAUUGCUUGAACCCAGGAGGUCCAGGCUGCAGUUAGCUAUGAUCGCACCAUGGCACUCCAGCCUGUGUAACAGAGCGAGACUCUCAAAAAACAACCACAACCCUCCCUCGAGGAACACUCCUCAUGGGGUCACGUGACUGGAGAGAUGCUGAGAUGUUUGCGGUAGAUGCAGGAUGCUUGUCCGAAUCGUGUUCAGCAUUCAUAAGAAGGAGAUAGCUAGCCAGGAACAGAGGCAGCUUCCUCAUCUGGUAGAGAAAAGUGUCUGUGGAAAAAAGCAACAGUGUGCUCACUGUUGAAGAGAUGAGAGUGCCGCUCACUGCUAUCUGUUCCUGGACCAGAUGUGGGAGGGGGUUUGGAGAUCAGACAGUUACUUCUAGAUUUGUACAGAACUACUUCGAAGAGAUAAAAUUCACUUACCAUACGGUCAGCCUAGUUAGAGGAUGUGAUUCAGUGGCUUUUAGUGACCAUUGUGUAACCAUCCCCGCAGUCAAGUUUAGAACAUUUUCACUGUCCGUAAAGGAAACCUCACACAUGUCAGCCGUCACCUCCCAAUUCCCUAUCUCGUGUGGUCUUAGGCAGAUGCCAGGCUUCCUGUCUCAGGGACUGGCCCACCCUGACCAAUUCACAUAAAUGAAACCGUGGGCCGGGUGUGGUGGCUCACACCUGUAAUCCCAGCACUUUGUGAGGCCUAGGUGGGUGGACCACCUGAGGCCAGGAGUUCAAGACCAGCCUGACCAACAUGGAGAAACCCCAUCUCUACUACAAUUACAGAAUUAGCCGGGUAUGGUGGCGCAUGCCUGUAAUAGUAGCUACUUGGGAGGCUGAGGCAGGAGAAUCGUUUGAACCCAGGAGGCGGGGGUUGUGGUGAGCUGAGAUCACACCAUUGCACUCCAGUCUGGGCAACAAGAGUGAAACUCUAUCUCAAAAAAAAAAAGUGAAGCGUACAGGUCAGACUGCCUUCACAGACGCGCAGAGCAGGUGUGAGGGCGAGGGUUUGAGGUGCCCCCGGCUCUGUGCGGGGUGGCUGUGCUGGUAGACAGGGCGUGGGGAGGAAAGCCUGGGCCGGGGCGGGAUCCGUGGGCACUGGAUGAGGGACAGAUGGGAGGUAAGAGGGUCUAGUCUCAGUGUCUCAGGAGGGGUUCAGGGACCCAUCCUCACUCCCGCCCCUCACAGACCCUGCUCUCAGCGGCCCACGAGGUGGAGUUGCAGCGGCAGAAGGAGGCGGAGAAGCUGGAGCGGCAGCUGGCCCUGCCUGCAACAGAGCAGGCCGCCACCCAGGUGAGCCCCGCACCUGCCCACUCCCUCCCCUCCCCGGGCCUCCUACCCACCCCUGACACUGCACCCCGCCUCCCCAGGAGUCCACGUUCCAGGAGCUGUGCGAGGGGCUGCUGGAGGAGUCGGAUGGUGAGGGGGAGCCAGGCCAGGGCGAGGGGCCGGAGGCUGGGGAUGCCGAGGUCGGUCCCAUGCCCGCCCGCCUGGCCACCACAGAGAAGAAGACGGAGCAGCAGCGGCGGCGGGAGAAGGUUGCGCGCAGGCUGCGGGUACAGCAGGCCGCGUUGCUGGCCGCCCGGCUCCGGCACCAGGAGCUGUUCCGGCUGCGCGGGAUCAAGGCCCAGGUGGCCCUGAGGCUGGCGGAGCUGGCGCGGCGGCGGAGGCAGCGGCAGGCGCGGCGGGAGGCCGAGGCUGACAAGCCCCGAAGGCUGGGGCGGCUCAAGUACCAGGCACCUGACAUUGACGUGCAGCUGAGCUCGGAGCUGACGGACUCGCUCAGGACCCUGAAGGUGCCCAUUGUGUGCUGCCGUGGAGCCCCGUGCCCAGUGAUGACACCAUCCUUGCUCCCCGUGCCCCCCAGGGGCUAUGGGCGACACCAUGGCUGCCCCUGGGCUGGGCCAGUGGGGCCAAUGCCCAGGGGCUGAGGGCACGGGAUGCUGGGAUGGGAUCCCAGGGUGAGGGGCCAGGCUAGGGUUUGAGUCUGGGACCCUAAGAAGGCCUUUCCUUCCAGCUGGUCCCUGUUGCAGUCCUGGUCACCUUUAGGACUAGAGGGACCUUCCUGAAGCUCAGAACCAACCCUGUCCCUCCCCUGCUCAGAACCUGUUGUGGCUCCCCAGUGCCCCUGAGGAAGCCCAGCUCCUCUGUCAGCCACACACCUAGGCCGACCCAGCCGUGAAGCUCCAGCCAGCUGUGUUCAUGAGUGGACUGCACCUUCUCCCUCUGAUCCAGCAUUUGCCCUUGCUGUCCCCUUUUCUGUGUCGUCACCAGCCCACUUCCCGUGACUCCUCCAAGCCCAGCUUAGAGAUGGCCGUGGGUUGGUGGCUGUCAUCCCAAUGCUGAGCCCCAGCAGCUGAGGGCCAGGCUGAGUCCCUGGUGCCCACAGGCUGCCCUGGGGAGACUGCAUGGGGCUGAGCCCUGCCAGGACCCAGAGGAGAGAUCCAGGCCCUUGGGCUUCUGCCAGGCCCUACUGAGGCCUCCCUCUCUGUCCUGCAGCCCGAGGGCAACAUCCUUCGAGACCGGUUCAAGAGCUUCCAGAGGAGGAAUAUGAUCGAGCCUCGAGAGAGAGCCAAGUUCAAACGCAAGUACAAGGUGAAGCUGGUGGAGAAGCGGGCGUUCCGCGAGAUCCAGUUGUAGCUGCCAUCAGAUGCUGGAGCCUCGCCCUUCAAUAAAAAGUCCCUUCUGGCUA